RNAcentral lists this transfer RNA (77 nucleotides) under Alphaproteobacteria bacterium. RNAcentral describes it as "tRNA-Ile". It matches the Rfam family "tRNA". From Rfam's summary of the family: Transfer RNA (tRNA) molecules are approximately 80 nucleotides in length. RNAcentral also lists the same sequence under 4 other names. The record is from RNAcentral. Lineage: Bacteria; Pseudomonadati; Pseudomonadota; Alphaproteobacteria.
GGGUCAGUAGUUCAGUUGGUUAGAAUGUCGCUCUGAUACAGCGAAGGUCGAAGAUUCGAGUUCUUCCUGACCCACCA